GUAUAUAUGUAUGUACAAUCUGUCUUUUGUACAAUCAAUUCAUAUGACAAGCAUAAACAAUUUUCUAUUUGAAAUUUUGAACUUCGUUUCUUAUAUGGCAAACCAACCUUACACGAUGUUUUUAAACGAAAAGUUUAAAGUUAUUUUCACUGUACUAUAAGAAUUUUCAAUUUUUACAAAAAUGGUAGGUAAUUAAAAUAUGUUAAAAUGCAAUCACAAAAGUAUCUUCAGUUAACUUUGGCAAUAAUUAAACCACAUAUUGUUAAAUCUCCUUUUGUGCUUCAGAAAAUUCGAGAUUUAAUAAUUGACAAUAAUUUAAAAAUUGUCAGAUCACGCAGGACGAUAAUUACACAGAAAGAGGCAGAAUUAUUUUAUGAAGAACAUAAAGAAAAAUUUUUUUACAAUCGUCUUUUAACAUUUAUGUGUAGUGGUCCAUCAGAUAUUCAUAUUUUAGCAGAUCAUAAUGCUAUUGCUAAAUGGAGAAAUUUAAUGGGUCCUACAAAAGUAUACGAGGCACAAUACAUUGCCCCUAAUACAAUUCGAGGAAUGUUUGGUUUAUCAGAUACAAGAAAUGCCACACAUGGUUCUGAUUCGGUGAAAUCUGCUGAGAGAGAAAUAAGAAUAUUCUUUAAGAACUUUGAUUUACAAAAAUGGUAUGAAUAUGAGGAAAAAUAUUAUAAUUUAGGUCAAGUUCACUUUGACCCAAUAGCAUUUUUACAUACUAUUGAUCAAAAAUUUAUGAACAGUAAUAAAGGACAAAUUAUAAAGUGAUACAAAUUUGGAAUUUUUUAUACCAUUUUUGUUAUGUACAUUUUUUUCAAGAACUUGGACAUCUCCUUGAUCUAAAGGAUACCUAUGGAACAAAUUAUUAUUAUAUAACAAAUAAUUAAAUAUAAAAUAUUUUGAAAGAAACUACAAGAAUAUAAUCUACAAUAAGUUACAAAGUUUCAUUUUAUACCUUUUAUUACAAAGUUAUAAGCAA
Apis laboriosa (Himalayan honeybee) is the source of this 982-nucleotide RNA transcript. It is a transcript of the gene named nucleoside diphosphate kinase 6-like, with no coding region annotated. The record is from RefSeq and is a predicted model, not a curated record. The transcript has 5 exons. NCBI's taxonomy places the organism in Eukaryota, Metazoa, Arthropoda, Insecta, Hymenoptera, Apidae.